Long non-coding RNA from Passer domesticus (house sparrow), 4639 nucleotides. RefSeq lists it as uncharacterized. Lineage: Eukaryota; Metazoa; Chordata; Aves; Passeriformes; Passeridae. The transcript has 3 exons. The record is from RefSeq and is a predicted model, not a curated record.
AGGCGAAAACGCCUUUCUCUGCCGGGGGCCUCUCGCGGCCGCCAUCUUGGGAGUGGCGUGUCGCGUCGUGUCGCGGACCGGCUUGACCUUCUCAAGAGGGCGGCCAAAAGGGCGGGAAAAAUGAGGCCCGUGGUGUGUCUAUUGAGCUGCCCGCACGCCGCUCCGACGCCGGCGCGGCCCCGGAGGAAUUUUCUGUGGCGAUUCAAGUGCUGUGGACACGGGCUGUGCGCUUAGCGGCGCCGCGGGCGGUGGCGUUUGUGGCGGGCGCUGACAGGCUUGAGUAUAGACGCCUCUCUUUACCGAGGGCUUCUCGCGGCCGCCAUCUUAAGAGUGGCGUGUCGCGUCGUGUCGCGGACCGGCUUGACCUUCUCAAGAGGGCGGCCAAAAGGGCGGGAAAAUCCAGGUUAGCCGAGAAUAGCCGAGUGUAGCCGAAGAGCCGACGAUAGCCGAGUUUUGGCGACAAUAGCCGGGUGUAGCCGAAGAGCCGACGAUAGCCGAGUUUUGCCGACAAUAGCCGGGUGUAGCCGAAGAGCCGACGAUAGCCGAGUUCAGCCGAAGUGCCGAAACAAGCCCAGCUUAGACCAACAGCCGAACCAAACCGCCGCUGCACGUACGUGUUUUAAUCGCGUAACCAGGCGGACUCGGGAAAGCCGACAGCCGGAGUAGAUUUCUGUUUGGUCUGUGUCUGUGAGGAGCGGGCUGUGUGCUGGACAGGCAGAGACGCUGUCGGAGCGUGGCAACAGCGCCAGCUGUGAGCUCUGAGGAUGAUGAGGGCUCCGAGCAGCCCCAGCCCUGAGCUGCGAGGAUGAGGAGGGGGCGGCUCCUGCCGGGAGGAGGCUGUUUUAGGGGGGAAGGGGUCGCCUGAGCUCCCUUUUGCCUGGAGCUGCUGAGCAGAGGGGUUUAGGGGGGCUCCCGGCGCUGUCUCGUGGAAGGACGCCGAGAGCUUCUCCGAGGGUCUGGGGGAACACCUGGAUACGCACUUGGAUGCGUGGAGCAUUGCUCAAAGGAGGUGCCGAGGAACAAAGCUCCGUGCCGGGAAGCAGCAGCCGAACAGCCGUGACCAAGGGACCAGAGCCCGGUGACUGCAGGACAUUGCCAGCGAGAGAGGCGGCCUUCCUUUGCAGCGGACGUGGAUUCUCAUCCCAGGAUGCUCGAGAGAUAAGUCGAGGGCUGUGCCACGCUGAGGGGAUGGAAGCGAGGUGCUGGGAGGGCCUUUUGAGUAGCUUCUUGGGAGGCAGGGAUGUGCAGGAGAUGGCCCCUUAGGCCACAUGGAGGAGAAGUCUCAGCGUGCUGAGGUGCUCAGGGCAGAGCGGUCCCGGUGCCUGUCACUUGUGUCACUUGUCUGUCGUGCCUUCUGUGUCUUUUGGAUGUCUCGUGUCUUGUGCCUUAGUCCUUUGAGGAGCUUAUGGUUUGUCCUGUUCUGUGUCACGGGUGUCUGGGUGUUUGGGCCGAUGCCGCUCUGCCCUGCUGCAAAGCCUGGUGUAGGUAUCAUAGGAGAAGUCCUGGGGGCCUGGAAAGAUGCUGGUUUUUUCUGGAAGAAUUACGUGAGAGCAGAAAAGUUACAAUGGCAUUGGAGUUGCCUGCACAGAAGAGACCCAGGGAAGUGGAACACAGCCAGGUGGUUUUGUGUGGCACCACAACUGAGAGCAUCAGUUAGGUGAGGAGGCGCGAGCAGCUCCCCGCUUUCGCAGACACAAUAGUCAUGUCAAGCAGUUUCGCCCUUUUCCAGACCACUGGCACGUGCUUGGGGACAAUAAGCUGUAUUUUUUACAGCCAGGUCUUCUGAGCCGCACUCCUCCUGCUCUGGGGUGGCCGCUGCUCACUGAUCACGGUGAAAACAACCUUGUGUCCCGGCACCCUGCAAAAUUCCCAGCUUAGAUGGCACUGAAGCGCAGCUUUGGCUUUCAGGCAUCUCCCCUGCAACCUGUGCCUUGUGUCGUCUCUGCAGGGAAUUAGUUAUUAAUUAAUUGCUUCCAUUUUUUUUUUAAUUUCCAAAGAAUAUCAGGUGACUUUUACAUCCUCUUCAGUGCUCCCCAAGCUUCACACCACACCUAAGUGCUGACUUUCACUGCCUACAGGUCGUUUGUGACCGAAAUGAUUCUGUGAAUUCUUCUCUUAACUUGAGCUUAAGGGCAAAGCGCCACAUUGAUUGCAUUUUGGAGAGAAAGAUUUGAAGGCUCGGCUGUAAAUUUCUCUUGUGUCCCGUCUUCCGGGUUCAUUCGUGUUGUAAUUUGCAAGUGGCAGAAGAGUGUUGCUGUUUAUUAAAAGCAAUAGCGCUCUCAAAGUGUUGAUGGGGGCGAUGAUUGCAGGGGUGCCAAUUGUGAAAAAUAACUUUGCCCACAUCUUCCCCAGGGCCUGGGCAGAGAGAGGUGGAGCUGGGCCGUGGAGUCCCCCGGAUCCUUCCACGGGUGUGGGCGUCUGCAGCACCGGGGAUCCGUGGCACAACUCCUUCCUGCAGAGGCUGAAAGCUGAGCCUACAGUUUCAAGCAGGACAAUCACCUUCCCAAGGCAAUAACAAGCGCCUCCCAAGAGCAGCUGGUGAAGGCGGCUCAGAAGGGAUGUGGUGAAACGUUUGGUCCAUCCGUCGUGCUUCUGGACGUGCAGGAAUCUUCAAACUCCUUUCCUCCUCCUCAAGACUCUGGGGCUCCUCAUUCCGUAGAAGGUAAGAGCACAUAAAGUGGUGGGACGGGGAAAUGCCUUCUCGCUUGCCAACAGCCUUAAGCUGUACAGGGUGCUGUUUGCCACAGGCAUUCUUAGCUCCGUGUCAUCAGGCGCCAGUCUAAUCUGCCAGGUGUAAUUGCCAUGGAAUAAAAUCCUUUGCUGGUGGCUGAUCGCCCCCAGUCAAUUGGAUUACACAGGCAGGAGCUGGCGCUGCCAAAGGCAGCGAGGGUUUAGGAAUCGUGGCUGCUGCUGCUGCCGGGGCUUUAAAGGCUCCUGCUGAAAGGAGGAGUCAAUGGGGUGUGCAUCCUCCCCCAGCAGAGCUGGGAAUAGCAGGACCCGUGACUGUGCUGUCUCUGAGCUACGCUGCUACUGCCUAAAACCUGUCCUGCAGUGUGCCGUGGAAUUGCAGAGCAAGGGCUGGUUAGGGCAUAAAGCCUGGCCAGGGGUGACAGGGACCGUUUCAGGCAGCACAGGGAAGUGGUGCCGCUUUGCCUGGUGGAGAAGGUGUGAAAAUGAGUUAGCCCAGGCACACGGCACCGUCGGCUGUGGCCAGUGGCCUCCAGCGGGCUGCGCGGGGGGACAGAGGCAGCCUGCGCCUUUACAAACGUGUUUAUUGUUCAAAGCGCCUCUCUUAGCCUUCGCUAGCAGAAUUCAGCAUCUUCAGUUUGAAAACUACCAGACCCAGAGCCCGAGCAUCUAUUGUAGCCUGGAGGACUUGUAGCAUGGGAGAGGCAAGAACCUGCAUCCUGUGCCGUGCGUGCUCUUACUUGAUGUGGGAAUCCUAAUGGUAUUAUUAAGGCCUGGCCUCAGUAUGUCUCUUACUGCCUUGCCAUUCGUGAAGCCCGAGGCUGGCUUGUCCUGGUUAGCUGUCUGAUGUGGAGGAGCUGACCUGCCAGCUCCUGUGGAAGUGAGUGCUCUCCGUGGAGUGACAUCCUGUAAAAUUUCUGUCACAGAAUCUCUGUCUUUAUGGCUCUCCUCCACCGAGAAGGACAUGGCCUCGUUGUCAGCAAUUGCUAUUUCUGCAAUAGCGUAAAAGUGCUAUCUUAGUACUAUUUAUUAUUUCAAAAGAAAAUACUUUGAAUCUGUGUAAGUGAUAGCUAAAAUGCCACCUGAAAGCUAGAAAGAGCACAUACCUAUAAUCCUCUUCCCUCUUGUGUCACCGAGUGUGUGAGACAGAAAGGCCCUUUCCGUGGAGGGAUAACGGCACUGAAAGAUCUUUUCCAGGAAAAGCAGAACACUGGAACACGGAAGUAGCCUUCAGUUCCUGCAGCAGAUUUGGGACCACGUGGAAGGAGGAGCAGAGCUGGCCCGGUGCCACAGCUGCGCAUGCAGUGGGGAUGGAGAAGCUGCCAUUGUCUGUCUUCUUGGCUGAGCCUUUAAAAACAAGGCACGUCUCUGUAGUGCCUUUUCCAGCCUGACAUAAAAGUUCCCCCUAGACGUCCAAAGGCAGCUGUUUUCUUAGCAGAAGGCGGUCAGGAAGAGGCAAAGCAGGCAAAGGCAUCAGCUAAGUCUGGCUAAAGAAGUUGGCUGAGGUGUUUCUCCCCCCUCCUAAGCAGCCAAUUUGGAAGCACUCUGCAGAGAUCUGUCUGCCUGGGAGGAGAAGCAGAGCCAACCACUGAAAAGUGGCACGUGAGCUCUGGUGAGGACUGCUGCUCCGCCUGCCUUGGUGUGGGAACUGCUGAGCUGCCAUUCCUGCCGCGGGAGUGUUUCUCCUCUCGUGCAGGCAAGGCAGAGACCUCCCAGGUAAGGAGCAGGUAAGGUUUAAGUGACGAGAUGUCCCAAGGAAGAAGUGACAUGACAAAAGGAAAUGGCCUCGAGUUGCACCAGGGAAGGCUUAGAUUGGAUUGUAGGAAACACUUCCUCACUGAAAGGGUGGUGAGGCAUUGGAGCAGGCUGCCCAGGGAAGUCCCCGUCCCUGGAGACAUGGAAAGGAUGUGUAGACGUGGUGUUGAGGGACCUGAUUUGGGGGUGGGGGGGG